GGGGGGGGGGGGGGGGGGGGGGGGGGGGGGGGGGGCGGGGGGGGGGGCGGGGCGGGGGGGGGGGGCUCGAGUGGGGAAGGGGUGAGUGACACGUGAGUAGCCUGCCCUUGGCUUUGGGAUAACUUCAGGAGACUGGGGCUAAUACCGGAUAGUAGCUCCUGCUGCAUGGUGGGGGUUGGAACGUUUCGGCGGUUGGGGAUGGACUCGCGGCUUAUCAGCUUGUUGGUGGGGUAGUGGCUUACCAAGGCUUUGACGGGUAGCCGGCCUGAGAGGGUGACCGGCCACAUUGGGACUGAGAUACGGCCCAGACUCCUACGGGAGGCAGCAGUGGGGAAUAUUGCACAAUGGGCGGAAGCCUGAUGCAGCAACGCCGCGUGCGGGAUGACGGCCUUCGGGUUGUAAACCGCUUUCGCCUGUGACGAAGCGUGAGUGACGGUAAUGGGUAAAGAAGCACCGGCUAACUACGUG
Molecule: ribosomal RNA, 468 nt
Filed under: uncultured bacterium
Lineage: Bacteria
Description: partial 16S ribosomal RNA
Rfam family: Bacterial small subunit ribosomal RNA (bases 52-468)
Source: RNAcentral